Long non-coding RNA from Anas platyrhynchos (mallard), 1498 nucleotides. RefSeq lists it as uncharacterized. The record is from RefSeq and is a predicted model, not a curated record. NCBI's taxonomy places the organism in Eukaryota, Metazoa, Chordata, Aves, Anseriformes, Anatidae.
CUGGGUAAUAUUUGUCAGAGAUGAAAGAACUGAAAUAAAAAGGAAAGAUUUUCUUUUAUUGGGAACAAGUCCCUGAGUUCAUCAUCUCACAGGAUUUUGUAGUUAGGGUCCUCACUUUUGGAUUACUUUUAUUCCAGAAAUCUUGCAUUUAAUGCAGCAUAAGAGCCUUAUCUACUGAGGUUAGGAUCAUCUCCUGGAAAAGUAAGCUGUGCAUCUGUAUCAACUCAGCCUGAGAUGCAGUUAACUAUGCAGACAAUCUGACACAUGGCCAUGCUUAUGGGAAAAAAAAAGCAUGUAUACUUCCUGCUGGAGUUCUCUUGCAGCCUGGACACAACCUUGUAGACUUCUACCAAACUUCCACCAUCUCAGAAGAACCACAAGAACAAUGAGGAACAGCAGUUCCACAGUUGUUUGUAGGAUCUUUGCAUAUCACUUGAAAUGAUAAUCCUAAGGAAAUCAAAUACAAAUAAAGACAUCCAUCCCUUUAACAUCCCUUGUCUUGAAAGCCAAAAGAUCUCUAUCUUUUUGUUUAUUCUCCUUCUAGUUUGCUUAAUAUACUUUACCCUUUGUACCUAAGUUUCUUCCUAUAUACAGCACCAUACAAGUUCCUGUCUUGGUGAGCCAUUAUAACAGGAGAUCUGAAUGGCAGGUGCUGUUUAAUAAGCUUCCCUAGAAAUAAUUUUCUGUAAUAAAUAAUUUUUUUAAUAAUCAACAAUUUUUUAAAUAAUCAACAAUAAAUAAUCAACAAUUUUAAAACAGAGAGAAAAUAUUAAAGCAAAUGCACAAUAGAAGAAGAAAAAUACUCACCCACCUCAGCAUAACUCAGAAAAAGAAUAAUUUUGUAAGACACCUUCAUCUUUACUAUCCUUCAGGAGCUUCUGCAAGAAUUAGAAAGCAAGAGGCUAUUGCUUUCCUCUCCUCCCCCCAGUUUUUUUUCCUACUUAAAAAUCUUUUGGCUUCAUCACAAUCAACAAAAUAUAUUGCAAUCAUGAAAAAUAGCCUGCAGCUCUGCUGGAUGAAGCAUAUCAGCUUGUUCUCCAAUUUUAGAAAAUUAUAUUUUAUGGCUAUCAAAACUGCAAUGAGGAAGCAGAGUUGUAAAGAGAAGUUGUCUGAGAAACAUGCAGAACUCUAUCUUGAUAAAAAGGCUAAAUGAUGCCAAAACAAAGUCCUUAUCAAAUCAUCCAAAAAAAGAAAAAAAGUUGUAAUAAAAUGUAUGAUGCAUCUGGGGAAGCACUCAGAUUAUAUUGUUAGGUAUGUUUGAGAAAGUAAGUUGACAAGUGGAGAAAGAAACAUAAUCUCUGAUAUAUGAGCAAUUCUGAAACUCUUUCAUGGUGAAUAAGUUGAUCCUUGUCCCUGCAAAACCAAAAUGCAAGUAAAUAAACCACAAAAGUCCUGACCUUUCAUCUCCUUAUUGCAAUCCUCUGACUUCCCUGUUCUAAUGUCAUUCUGUGAAAUUUUGGAUUAAUGGUGCAAAGAAAUAUUUGCCUUGAUAAUAAAG